This 417-nucleotide unclassified non-coding RNA is filed under the name Hevea brasiliensis (rubber tree). The record is from RNAcentral. Lineage: Eukaryota; Viridiplantae; Streptophyta; Magnoliopsida; Malpighiales; Euphorbiaceae.
AAGGGAAGUAGAUUCAUUACUUUGGAAGGGUUGGCUGAAACUUCUACAGCGUAUAGGAUGGUACCCUGUGCUAGUUUUCAACAGCUAGUGCAUAAGAAUGGGAAGGAUUUUGAGGGUUUUAACAAUCAGCACAACCAUUCCAGUCUAUUUUCAAUUUCUGGCAACUUUGAAGAUAAUCAAUUGGAAGUAGCUCCAAAGAACCCAUUUCAGCUUUGAAGCCUCAUGAGGAUGCAGUCACUCAGGGCCUCAUUAAAUGGUUGCAGUUAUUGAAAAGAAUACUAUUGGGGAGGCUGAAGCCUUCAUUCUGACUCAAAUUCCAGAAUUCAAACCUUCAUGGAAACAAGAAGGUUUUAAAGGAGAGGUUAUUGUCACAAAAGUAGAUAAAGAGCCUGUGCUGGAAGAAAUGAAUAGAUGGUG